RNAcentral lists this small RNA (20 nucleotides) under Arabidopsis thaliana (thale cress). RNAcentral's name for it is "ATSL282240". The record is from RNAcentral. Lineage: Eukaryota; Viridiplantae; Streptophyta; Magnoliopsida; Brassicales; Brassicaceae.
AAAAAACAGAAAACAAAACA